This 74-nucleotide transfer RNA is filed under the name Nitrospira sp. Its description in RNAcentral is "tRNA-Ile". It matches the Rfam family "tRNA". From Rfam's summary of the family: Transfer RNA (tRNA) molecules are approximately 80 nucleotides in length. Their secondary structure includes four short double-helical elements and three loops (D, anti-codon, and T loops). Further hydrogen bonds mediate the characteristic L-shaped molecular structure. tRNAs have two regions of fundamental functional importance: the anti-codon, which is responsible for specific mRNA codon recognition, and the 3' end, to which the tRNAs corresponding amino acid is attached (by aminoacyl-tRNA synthetases). tRNAs cope with the degeneracy of the genetic code in two manners: having more than one tRNA (with a specific anti-codon) for a particular amino acid; and 'wobble' base-pairing, i.e. permitting non-standard base-pairing at the 3rd anti-codon position. The record is from RNAcentral. RNAcentral also lists the same sequence under 5 other names. Lineage: Bacteria; Pseudomonadati; Nitrospirota; Nitrospiria; Nitrospirales; Nitrospiraceae.
GGGCUUGUAGCUCAGGUGGUUAGAGCGGCUGACUCAUAAUCAGAUGGUCGCGGGUUCAAUUCCUGCCAGGCCCA